Molecule: long non-coding RNA, 671 nt
Filed under: Carica papaya (papaya)
Lineage: Eukaryota; Viridiplantae; Streptophyta; Magnoliopsida; Brassicales; Caricaceae
Description: long non-coding RNA (CPAP_LNC005450)
Source: RNAcentral
GUCAUGGUUUUCUAGCUAUAAGUGUUUUACUUGCUUGGGAACGACAUUGCACAAUAUUUCAUCCUUAUAUUUACUAAUAGAAAAUGGAAUUCAUACAUGUUCGAUGACACUGAUCUCUUACUGUUAUCUAACCAAUGUAACUUGUAGGGAUUGGGGUGCGGGACACAAAUCAACCUUACUUUGUCAACCAGUAAGGUGCUACAAAAAUUAGUACAGCUGCCCCCAUUAAUAAUCACAUUACUGACCUUUCCGUUCAUCAGGCAUCUUGAAUAGAAGAUGGUUUCUCUCUAAUCAUUGUUUUCUGACUUAACUUGUAUGUUCAGGGCCCACUGAGCCAUAAACAAAUCUUCAUAUACUAGUUAGGCAAUAUACUCUUCACUGGCUCCAAAUGAUUGCAUGUCUUCUUAUUCACUCUCACAGUCACUGAUGACAUCUCCAUCUCUUAUGAUCAUAGUACAUUAAUUGAGACUUGGGAUGCAAUAUGUCCAACCCCUAGACACUUGAAACACUUAAUAAUGUUUUAUCUUGUAACAGGUGCCUUAGGUUACCUAUUAGAUUACUGACAGGUUGUUUUCCCUUUUGGACCCGAACCUUCUUAGCUUCAUCCCUUUCAACCCAUCUUUGAGUAUCUUGAGGGUUAGGACUAACAAACCCCCAAAUAGUUCCUCUAC